Molecule: ribosomal RNA, 48 nt
Filed under: Neonectria lugdunensis
Lineage: Eukaryota; Fungi; Ascomycota; Sordariomycetes; Hypocreales; Nectriaceae
Description: partial 18S ribosomal RNA
Rfam family: Eukaryotic small subunit ribosomal RNA
Source: RNAcentral
AGGUCGUAACAAGGUCUCCGUUGGUGAACCAGCGGAGGGAUCAUUACC